Mustela erminea (ermine) is the source of this 884-nucleotide long non-coding RNA. RefSeq lists it as uncharacterized. The transcript has 3 exons. NCBI's taxonomy places the organism in Eukaryota, Metazoa, Chordata, Mammalia, Carnivora, Mustelidae. The record is from RefSeq and is a predicted model, not a curated record.
UGCGGAUUUUCUGGGGAAGGGGCCAUUGCAGCUGCCUUACAGCAAUCAGCUGGAGCAGAGGGGCAGUAGCUCACUUUGGACAGGACAAGCAUUCCAGUUCGCCAGAAUCCCACCACUUACUCCUCUCCCCUGACCUUGAAGGUGAAUGCUUUCACCACCUGCGACACCGGCUUCCACCGAAUCAGUUGGCCCACAUUUGAGAGCCCUCAUCUGCUUGGGAGAGACACCCCAUUUAGACACCAUAAUUGUGAUUAAGAUAUCCUUUUUUUCCCCCUCUGCAGAUUUUAUAAAACAAGUACAAUAAAUCCACUUUAUGUCAAGGAGAAGGAACUUGAAGCCAGAGGAGUACAUGGAACAUUUUAGUUAAUUUAUCUGUUCCCUGAGAAAUGUCCUCAGGGCCCUGCAUGAAUAUGGGUGUAUCCCUGGCACAGCUGAUUAAGAACAAAUGUUUCCUGGAUUUCUAUCCCAUUAAGUACCUAUUUUUUUUUUUCUUAAGAUAUAAGUUUGGUGCCUAAUUUCUUUCCUUCCUGGCCUGUACAAAUUCUUUGCCUUCCUCUGUUCAAACUAUAGACUUUUUGAGACUACCAGCUGGGAUCUGAUAUUUCAGAACACAACCUGGGAAUUACCUGACCCUCAUGUAGUAGGGGGGGGAUAAAACAUUCCUUAUGAAUCUGAGAAUGGAAAAAUGAAAUGUUACAGAAACAUACAGUUAAAAGAGAAAACGAAAAUGUAACAUCUUUGUCCAAUAAAGGAUCAAAUGUAUUAUUUUAGGUUAUAGAUAAUUGAAUGUAAGAAACAGACACAUUAAUUUAUGUUUGGAUUAUGAUUUCCUGGUGUCAGCGGACACUUAAUUGUUGUAUGUAAAUAAAGCUUUGUUGUAAACA